GUGUUAGUGGAAGCGUCUGGAAAGGCGCGCGAUACAGGGUGACAGCCCCGUACACAAAAAUGCACAUACUGUGAGCUCGAUGAGUAGGGCGGGACACGUGGUAUCCUGUCUGAAUAUGGGGGGACCAUCCUCCAAGGCUAAAUACUCCUGACUGACCGAUAGUGAACCAGUACCGUGAGGGAAAGGCGAAAAGAACCCCGGCGAGGGGAGUGAAAAAGAACCUGAAACCGUGUACGUACAAGCAGUGGGAGCACGCUUAGGCGUGUGACUGCGUACCUUUUGUAUAAUGGGUCAGCGACUUAUAUUCUGUAGCAAGGUUAACCGAAUAGGGGAGCCGAAGGGAAACCGAGUCUUAACUGGGCGUUAAGUUGCAGGGUAUAGACCCGAAACCCGGUGAUCUAGCCAUGGGCAGGUUGAAGGUUGGGUAACACUAACUGGAGGACCGAACCGACUAAUGUUGAAAAAUUAGCGGAUGACUUGUGGCUGGGGGUGAAAGGCCAAUCAAACCGGGAGAUAGCUGGUUCUCCCCGAAAGCUAUUUAGGUAGCGCCUCGUGAAUUCAUCUCCGGGGGUAGAGCACUGUUUCGGCAAGGGGGUCAUCCCGACUUACCAACCCGAUGCAAACUGCGAAUACCGGAGAAUGUUAUCACGGGAGACACACGGCGGGUGCUAACGUCCGUCGUGAAGAGGGAAACAACCCAGACCGCCAGCUAAGGUCCCAAAGUCAUGGUUAAGUGGGAAACGAUGUGGGAAGGCCCAGACAGCCAGGAUGUUGGCUUAGAAGCAGCCAUCAUUUAAAGAAAGCGUAAUAGCUCACUGGUCGAGUCGGCCUGCGCGGAAGAUGUAACGGGGCUAAACCAUGCACCGAAGCUGCGGCAGCGACGCUGAUGCGUUGUUGGGUA
Molecule: ribosomal RNA, 901 nt
Filed under: Escherichia coli
Lineage: Bacteria; Pseudomonadati; Pseudomonadota; Gammaproteobacteria; Enterobacterales; Enterobacteriaceae
Description: partial 23S ribosomal RNA
Rfam family: Bacterial large subunit ribosomal RNA
Source: RNAcentral